RNAcentral lists this ribosomal RNA (669 nucleotides) under uncultured bacterium. RNAcentral's name for it is "bacterial SSU rRNA". It matches the Rfam family "Bacterial small subunit ribosomal RNA", at positions 212 to 894 of the family's 1533-position model. The record is from RNAcentral.
UUAUCGCUUUUGGAGGGGGGUGCGUCCUAUCAGGUAGUUGGUUGAGGUAACGGCUCACCAAGCCUAUGACGGGUAGCCGGUCUGAGAGGAUGUCCGGCCGCAAUGGAACUGAGACACGGUCCAUACUCCUACGGGAGGCAGCAGUGGGGAAUAUUGGACAAUGGGCGCAAGCCUGAUCCAGCAAUCCCGCGUGGAGGAUGACGCAUUACGGUGUGUAAACUCCUUUUCUGGUAGAAGACGACUGACGGUAUACCAGGAAUAAGAGACGGCUAACUACGUGCCAGCAGCCGCGGUAAUACGCAGGUCUCGAGCGUUAUCCGGAGUUACUGGGCGUAAAGGGUCCGUAGCCGGAUCUAUAAGUCUGUUUUCAAAUUCUUUCGCUCAACGAAAGGCAGGGAAUAGAUACUGUAGAUCUAGAGGUUUUUAGAGGUUAGUGGAAUUCCCAGUGGAGCGGUGAAAUGCGUUGAUAUUGGGAGGAACGCCGAAAGCGAAAGCAGCUAACUAUAAUUCACCUGACGGUCAGGGACGAAAGCUUGGGGAGCAAACGGGAUUAGAUACCCCGGGUAGUCCAAGCCGUAAAUUAUGUUUGCUAGGUGUCUUUGCGUAUGCAGGGGUGCCGUAACCCUAGCGGAUUAAGCAAACCCGCCCUGGGUAGUAUAUUCGCAAGGA